AAAGGAAUAGACGGGGGCCCGCACAAGCGGAGGAACAUGUGGUUUAAUUCGAUGAUACGCGAGGAACCUUACCCGGGAUUGAAAUGGAGCGGAAUAACCGUGAAAGCGGUUAGCCAGCAAUGGUCGCUUUGUAGGUGCUGCAUGGUUGUCGUCAGCUCGUGCCGUGAGGUGUCGGCUUAAGUGCCAUAACGAGCGCAACCCUGACUGUCAGUUGCUAACAGGUCGUGCUGAGGACUCUGGCGGGACUGCCGGCGUAAGCUGUGAGGAAGGUUGGGAUGACGUCAAAUCAGCACGGCCCUUACAUCCGGGGCGACACACGUGUUACAAUGGCACGGACAGCGGGAAGCUACUUAGUGAUAAGAUGCAAAUCUCGAAACCGUGUCUCAGUUCGGAUCGGAGUCUGCAACUCGACUCCGUGAAGCCGGAUUCGCUAGUAAUCGCGCAUCAGCCAUGGCGCGGUGAAUACGUUCCCGGGCCUUGUACACACCGCCCGU
Molecule: ribosomal RNA, 494 nt
Filed under: uncultured bacterium
Lineage: Bacteria
Description: bacterial SSU rRNA
Rfam family: Bacterial small subunit ribosomal RNA
Source: RNAcentral